This 306-nucleotide long non-coding RNA is filed under the name Elaeis guineensis (African oil palm). RNAcentral's name for it is "long non-coding RNA (EGUI_LNC014694)". The record is from RNAcentral. Lineage: Eukaryota; Viridiplantae; Streptophyta; Magnoliopsida; Arecales; Arecaceae.
GUGGGGCCAAAGUUUGCCUCCAAGGAGCUCAUUGGUGGAUCUUUUUCCUUGGCAUGGGAGAUGUUAGGAAGAUCUGCUACUCUACCCAUUGAGUUGUGAUGGCGGUCAUCGGAGGCUGCUCUAGGAUCUCACUCCAUAAGAGAGUCUUAAACCUCUCUAAGGAUGGAUCUCCUCCCUCAGUGAGCGUAGCCUCUCGACCUUCCUUGGGAAUGCAUUGUGAAGGUGAGCAUGUCUCCAUGGAUGGUGGGCCGACAUCAUCGAGUCCUGCAUCCUUCAUUGCGUCGACCCGAUGUAGGGCUCCGGUAA